AGAUUAAGGAGUAUAGAAGGAACAUCUAUGUCCUCAUGCUGCCUCUGAAGCUCAUUAUUCAUCAAAGCAAGCAUGAUGCACUUGACAGUCACACUGUCAUCCUUUCACAUUUUAUAUGUGGCCCUUUCCUCCUUAGAUGCAUCUUCUCCGAUCAUAUUGGGUGCAGGUGAAUCCAAUAUGUAGGAGACUUUCUCCUGAGUGCGAAUAAUUCUCAAAUUUUUUAACCAGUCCAUA
Molecule: long non-coding RNA, 234 nt
Filed under: Elaeis guineensis (African oil palm)
Lineage: Eukaryota; Viridiplantae; Streptophyta; Magnoliopsida; Arecales; Arecaceae
Description: long non-coding RNA (EGUI_LNC056988)
Source: RNAcentral